Molecule: long non-coding RNA, 251 nt
Filed under: Homo sapiens (human)
Lineage: Eukaryota; Metazoa; Chordata; Mammalia; Primates; Hominidae
Description: HSALNT0037456
Source: RNAcentral
GUGAUCCUGAGUCUGAUUUGGGAAAGAAAUAGGGGAGCUUUGGUUCUGCAAUGCUGAUAUCACCUCAGCAGCCCUCCCAUCUCAGGGUCUGAGAACCAUCCUUCUGAUUUCCACCUUCCUUUGUGGAACAACAUGGACUCAGGAGAUAGUGGAAUUAAUACAAAAUGAAGGUGAUGUGGAGAAAAGUAAACGGGCACCGACUCAUCAACGAUUUCCUUUCCUCGAAAUGAAAAUCCCAUCCUUAGGAUCUG